This 69-nucleotide transfer RNA is filed under the name Coleonyx variegatus. RNAcentral describes it as "tRNA-His". It matches the Rfam family "tRNA". From Rfam's summary of the family: Transfer RNA (tRNA) molecules are approximately 80 nucleotides in length. Their secondary structure includes four short double-helical elements and three loops (D, anti-codon, and T loops). Further hydrogen bonds mediate the characteristic L-shaped molecular structure. tRNAs have two regions of fundamental functional importance: the anti-codon, which is responsible for specific mRNA codon recognition, and the 3' end, to which the tRNAs corresponding amino acid is attached (by aminoacyl-tRNA synthetases). tRNAs cope with the degeneracy of the genetic code in two manners: having more than one tRNA (with a specific anti-codon) for a particular amino acid; and 'wobble' base-pairing, i.e. permitting non-standard base-pairing at the 3rd anti-codon position. Lineage: Eukaryota; Metazoa; Chordata; Lepidosauria; Squamata; Eublepharidae. The record is from RNAcentral.
GUAAGUAUAGUUUAACAAAAACACUAAGCUGUGGACUUAGAACUAGGAGUUUAAAUCUCCUUACGAACC